RNAcentral lists this ribosomal RNA (254 nucleotides) under uncultured bacterium. Its description in RNAcentral is "partial 16S ribosomal RNA". It matches the Rfam family "Bacterial small subunit ribosomal RNA", at positions 524 to 776 of the family's 1533-position model. The record is from RNAcentral.
UACAGAGGGGGCAAGCGUUGUUCGGAAUUACUGGGCGUAAAGGGCGCGUAGGCGGCCUGUUAAGUCGAACGUGAAAUCCCCGGGCUCAACCCGGGAACUGCGUCCGAUACUGGCAGGCUUGAAUCCGGGAGAGGGAUGUGGAAUUCCAGGUGUAGCGGUGAAAUGCGUAGAUAUCUGGAGGAACACCGGUGGCGAAGGCGGUCUCCUGGGCCGAGGGCCGACGCUGAGGCGCGAGAGCGUGGGGAGCGAACCGG